AUUGAACGCUGGCGGCAUGCUUUACACAUGCAAGUCGAACGGUAACAGGUUAAGCUGACGAGUGGCGAACGGGUGAGUAAUGCAUCGGAACGUGCCCGGUCGUGGGGGAUAACGCAGCGAAAGCUGCGCUAAUACCGCAUCCGAUCUGAGGAUGAAAGUGGGGGACCGUAAGGCCUCGCGCGAUCGGAGCGGGCGAUGUCAGAUUAGGUAGUUGGCGGGGUAAAGGCUCACCAAGCCAACGAUCUGUAGCUGGUCUGAGAGGACGACCAGCCCCACUGGGACUGAGACACGGCCCAGACUCCAACGGGAGGCAGCAGUGGGGAAUUUUGGAAAAUGGGCGAAAGCCUGAUCUUGCAUUGCCGCGUGCAGGAAGAAGGCCUUCGGGUUGUAAACUGCUUUUGUACGGAGCGAAAAGGUCUCCUCUAAUACAGGGGGCUCAUGACGGUACCGUAAGAAUAGGCACCGGCUAACUACGUGCCAGCCGCCGCCGUAA
This 493-nucleotide ribosomal RNA is filed under the name uncultured bacterium. Its description in RNAcentral is "partial 16S ribosomal RNA". It matches the Rfam family "Bacterial small subunit ribosomal RNA", at positions 30 to 523 of the family's 1533-position model. The record is from RNAcentral.